AGGAGUUUUUCAUUGGUUUUGUUCAUUCGUUUGUUUUGUGUUUUGGUCUUGCCUUGCAGCUUGUGGGGUCUUAGUUCUCUGACUGGGGGUCGAACCCAUGCUCCCUGCAGUGGAAGCUCUGAGUCCUGACCACUGGGCCUCCAGGGAAGUCCCAGGAGGCUUUCAUUUGCAAAUGACAAGAGAUCAAGGCAAACGUCUAAAUAAAGAAGCAAAUUUACCUGCUCCCUUAAUUGAAAAGUCCUGAAAUAGGUGUCGCUCAGGAGAUGUUGGACCCCAGAGCUCAGAUGAUAUCAUCGGGGCUUGGGCUUCUCUACCAGUUAGUUCUUCUGUGAUGGUUGCUAAGGCAGCCUUCAGAAGCUACUAAUUUACAUUUUCAGAGGAUUAAAUCCAGUGGAUGAGAGAGCUUGACUCCUCAUCGAUUCCAACAAACAUCCCAGGUCUGCUUUCCAUUGCACAUUCCUGAAGCAAUCCCUCUGGCUGCAAGAGAUUAUGCUGACUGGCUUAGACUUAUAUAUGUGGUCUUUUAUUUUCUAUUAUAAUUUUGAUGAUUUGUCCACAAAGGCAACCUAACUCUAAGCCACUAGGAGACAUAGCCCUGUGACCAAAAUCAGAUCUCGUUCUGAGGAAUUCUAACCAGAAGACACUAUUUCAGAACAGUGAAGGCUGCUUCUCAUUCCAUUUCAUCAACUGCAACUACUUUUUGAGGCAGGUUUCUUGAGGACCUGGCACAUAUCUGAACUUAUAAAAUGGAUAAAGCCUAGACCAUUUCUAGGGCAGUCUUCACAGUGGCCAGUUCAGAUGCUGCAUAAGUGCCUGGAAGAUUUCACCUCUGCAAAACAGCUGCGUCAGAUCCCAGUUGCAGCCUUCUCGAUCUUUCACUGUGGCAUACAGGCUCUCUAGUUCCGACCGUCCCUCCCUUUCCUGAGUGCUCAGUUGUGUCUGACUCUUUUCGACCCACGGACUGUAGACCACCAGGCUCCUCUGUCCAUGGGACUCUCCAGGCAAGAAUACUGGAGUGGGUUGCCAUUUUCUUUAAGGGAUCUUCCCGACCCAGGGAUCCAACACAUGUCUCCCAUGUUGGCAGGAAUAUUCAACUGCUUGGGUGUGGGCCCAAAGGAGGCAGAGAAGCUGGUUCACUGACUGCUGAGGUUUUUUUAGAUAAGCUGUUCUCUAAGAGUCAGACACGACUGAGCGACUUCACUUUCACUCUUCACUUUCAUGCAUUGGAGGAGGAAAUGCCAACCCACUCCAGUGUUCUUGCCUGGAGAAUCCCAGGGACGGGGGAGCCUGGUGGGCUGCCGUCUAUGGGGUCGCACAGAGUCGGACACGACUGAAGCGACUUAGCAGCAGCAGCAGCAGCAUCUUUUAUUUAGAUGCUGAUUGUAUUAUUUAGGGGUGUCAUAUCUGUAUCCUUGAUCUCCUCAGCUAGGUUUAAAUCCACUCAGUAUAUGUGGACCAGUUUGCUAAUUCUCUUCUCCAUAGUAUCUACUCCAGUGGAGGCAGAGAGUCAAUAUUUGGUAGGUGCUUUUUGAAAAAAUGAUACAUUCUGUAAUUAAUUCUUGAAAUAAUAAAUCCUCAUUUGAAAAUUUGCUCAUCUUCUUAGAUAGCCACUGUUCCCAUGACCUAGCACUUAAUGUAGCGUUCAGAUUGCCUGGGUACAAAUUGUAGCUGUGUCUCUUACUAGGUGUGUGACCCUGGGCGAAACGCUUAAUAUUUCUGUACCUCAGUGUCCUUGUCUGUAAAACAAAGACUGUUAAAUUAUUGCAUAUUUGUUUUGAUGAAUAAAUUAGUAUGUGUAAAAUGCU
Molecule: long non-coding RNA, 1805 nt
Organism: Bos taurus (domestic cattle)
Lineage: Eukaryota; Metazoa; Chordata; Mammalia; Artiodactyla; Bovidae
Source: Ensembl